This is a long non-coding RNA of Amphiprion ocellaris (clown anemonefish), 1388 nucleotides long. The record is from Ensembl. Lineage: Eukaryota; Metazoa; Chordata; Actinopteri; Pomacentridae.
AUAAUUAUUAUCCAUGGAACGUGUGUCCCACAACAACCCUGUUAGCAUAACCUUUUUAUCUGGUAGAAGAAGAAAAAAAACAGUGAAUCACAUGAAACGCUGGAAUCAAACAGUUUUCCUUGAAGAAAGCUAUGCCCUCUCUUCUAUUUUUCAUAUUUUCAUAACAUUGUCUCACUCUACCUCAUAUUAUCAGGAUCAGACUAAUUCUUUUGACUGUUUUCCAUCAGUCAGUUUGUCCUCUAGGUCAGCAGUAACAGCUAGCUAAAUAUCUAGCUUCUACUGCUGAGGAAAAGCUAACAUUAGCAUGGAUUAGCAGCCCUGUUACUGUGAUUAGAGUAGGGUUAGCAAACAACAAAUAAAACAUGGAAUAAAAUGCUACCAUUGAUGUGUAAACUGAGCUAGUGAAGCCUUUGGAGGUUUAUGACCUAUUAUUGAUGAAUAUGGAGCAGAAAUUUGUAAAAGAGAAGGUUUACUUUUUCAUAAAUUUGAAAUCCAAAUGUCCUGCAGUUCUGGAAUGACUCAACAGCAUGGACCUGCAACCAAAAAUUCUUUUCAUUAUCAAUUAAUCUGUAAACUAUUUUCUCAAUUAAUUGAUUAGUCUUCUGGUCUAAAAACACCAGAAAAUUCAAAGCUGGCAUCUUGGGAUGUGUGUUUCUGUCUAAGAAAUCAAAAAUAAUAGAUUAAUUAAAAGUCUUCAAAAAAAACCCCAUUCAUUUAGAAAAAAAGCAAUAAACAAAAAACAACGGAACCACUAAAAAGAGGUUUUUUAGACACAGAAUUAUCUUGAAUACAGUGUCUUUAAAGUGCCUAAAAGUGUCUCGUAAAGUGUUUAAAGGAACAUUUUUUUUAUGGUGAGGCACCUUUGGUGGUUCUUUAAUGAACUGACUGCAGAAAAGCCUCUCUAAUCAUUGUCUUGCUAAAAGGUUCAUUGUAGAGCUAAAAAUGGUUCUUUUAUGGCCCCACUGUGGAAGAAACAUUUUUUGAUCCAGUUAGCGCCUUCAUUAAAUUAUUUUUUCAGUGUAGAGUUUGCAUUUUACAGCAGGGACUUUCACAAAGUUUCUUGAUUUUUUUAUUUUUCUGAAAUUUUCUAUGAUUUAAUUCCUGCCUUAAUUAAAACUGGACCAAGAGAAGAAUAAAAACCUCUAACUCUUUCCUGCCUGUGUUUCAGUCCUUUCGCUCGGGACAGACUGGCUGCUGUUUCAGGAUCAACAUGAAGACGAUGGUCUGAUGGAGUCCUCCAAGAAUGCAGUUUGUUUUUAAUGGCAUAUUCUGUUCCUGAUGCUGAGGAAGACUUCUUUUGUGUUUACAAUUUGUACCUCAGAAGAUAUUCAACAAUGUAAAGUGUUGGUAAGAACAUGGUGAAAUAAAAUAACUUUCAAUUGCAAACU